CCAGGGGCAAGUAGAAGGUCAUACACAGGAGGAGGCAGGUAGCUGGGUCCAGGGGCAGGCAGAAGUUCAUACACAGGAGGAGGCAGGUAGCUGGGUCCAGGGGCAGGCAGAAGUUCAUACACAGGAGGAGGCAGGUAGCUGGGUCCAGGGGCAGGCAGAAGUUCAUACACAGGAGGAGGCAGGUAGCUGGGUCCAGGGGCAUGCAGAAGGUCAUACACAGGAGGAGGCAGGUAGCUGGGUCCAGGGGCAGGCAGAAGGUCAUACACAGGAGGAAGCAGGUAGCUGGGUUCAGGGGCAGGUAGAAGGUCAUACACAGGAGGAGGCAGGUAGCUGGGUCCAGGGGCAGGCAGAAGGUCAUACACAGGAGGAGGCAGGUAGCUGGGUCCAGGGGCAGGCAGAAGGUCAUACACAGGAGGAGGCAGGUAGCUGGGUCCAGGGGCAGGCAGAAGGUCAUACACAGGAGGAGGUAGGUAGCUGGGUCCAGGGGCAGGCAGAAGGUCAUACACAGGAGGAAGCAGGUAGCUGGGUUCAGGGGCA
RNAcentral lists this long non-coding RNA (537 nucleotides) under Salmo salar (Atlantic salmon). Its description in RNAcentral is "lncRNA (ENSSSAG00000089011.1)". Lineage: Eukaryota; Metazoa; Chordata; Actinopteri; Salmoniformes; Salmonidae. The record is from RNAcentral.